This 460-nucleotide ribosomal RNA is filed under the name uncultured bacterium. RNAcentral describes it as "partial 16S ribosomal RNA". It matches the Rfam family "Bacterial small subunit ribosomal RNA", at positions 338 to 795 of the family's 1533-position model. The record is from RNAcentral.
CCUACGGGGGGCUGCAGUGAGGAAUAUUGGUCAAUGGGCGCUAGCCUGAACCAGCCAAGUAGCGUGAAGGAUGACUGCCCUCUGGGCUGUAAACUUCUUUUAUAUGGGAAUAAAGUGCAGUAUGUAUACUGCUUUGCAUGUACCUUAUGAGUAAGGAUCGGCUAACUCCGUGCCAGCAGCCGCGGUAAUACGGAGGAUCCGAGCGUUAACCGGAUUUAUGGGGUUUAAAGGGAUCGUAGGCGGGUUGUUAAGUCAGUUGUGAAAGUUUGCGGCUCAACCGUAAAAUUGCAGUUGAUACUGGCAUCCUUGAGUACAGGAGAGGUAGGUGGAAUUCGUGGUGCAGCGGUGAAAUGCUUAGAUAUCACGAAGAACUCCGAUUGCGAAGGCAGCCUGCUGGACUGUAACUGACGCUGAUGCGCGAAAGUGUGGGUAUCAAACAGGAUUAGAUACCCGUGUAGUC